Molecule: ribosomal RNA, 294 nt
Filed under: uncultured bacterium
Lineage: Bacteria
Description: partial 16S ribosomal RNA
Rfam family: Bacterial small subunit ribosomal RNA
Source: RNAcentral
GAUUAACGCUAGCGGCAGGCCUAAUACAUGCAAGUCGAACGGCAGCACGGGUAGCAAUACCUGGUGGCGAGUGGCGCACGGGUGCGUAACGCGUAUGCAAUCUACCUGUAACUGGGGAAUAGCCUUCCGAAAGGAAGAUUAAAACCGCAUAAUAUCACGAGACGGCAUCGUUUUGUGAUCAAAUCUCCGGAGGUUACAGAUGAGCAUGCGUGACAUUAGCUAGUUGGUGAGGUAACGGCUCACCAAGGCGACGAUGUCUAGGGGGUCUGAGAGGAUGAUCCCCCACACUGGUAC